GUGCUAGCUCAGCUGAUUCGCGCGCGCGCCCGCGAGAACGUGAGGUCCUGGGUUCGAUUCCCAGGAGGAGCA
Molecule: non-coding RNA, 72 nt
Organism: Rhododendron griersonianum
Lineage: Eukaryota; Viridiplantae; Streptophyta; Magnoliopsida; Ericales; Ericaceae
Source: the annotation of a GenBank genome assembly